UAGUUCAAGGACAGCAGUUGAAUCCGUAUUUGAGACUCAAAGUCAGACGUGACCAUAUUAUAGAUGAUGCACUGGUCCGGGUAAGUUUGACUAUUAUUUAAAAUUGGAAUUAAACUAAAACCUAGACAGUGAUGUAUUUCAAUUUAUUCAUUUUAUCUAUAAUUUUGGAAAAAAAUAGGAUUAUGUUAACAUUUCUGAUCUGUAUUGCUACACCUUUGUUGCUUCUUACCAAAAAUACUGGUAUCCUGGUUGUCUAAUGAUAAUUCUCUUUUGAAGAAGAAUAGAUUUUUCUAGUACUAGGGGAAUGACUCAGUGGUUAAAACGUUUGUUGUGCAAACAUGAGGACUUAUCCUUGGAUUUUCUGAAUACAUGUAAAACAGGAUAUGGUAGUUCCAUUUGUAAUAGUACUGCCUAAAGCAAGAUAGAAAGUAUAGACAGAAAAAUCCUCAGAAGCUAAUCUGAUAUAUAAACUGACAAAUAACUAGACCCUGUCUCAGUUGGUAGAAAGCAAAGUCUGAUACUUGAUGUUCUUUGACCUCCACACAUACGUUUUCCCCUUUUGGCAUUUACAUGCACACAUGCAUGCAUGCAUGCAUGCAUACAUAUGCACACAGAUGCGCAGACAGACAGGCACAAAGCAAGUAAAAGGAAUGGAUUUUCUGAAUCUUGAAAGCCAGCCUCAUAUAUUUCCAUUAAGAAGAAAAGAUUGGUUUUCAAAGAUUGGAACACAUGACAAAUGGUAUUGUUAUACACAUUUUUAAGAAUGGAAGAUGGAAUUGGAAGAAAUAAUGCAAUAAAUGUACAUUGUAAAAGAAUAAGAGCUGCUCUUCAAAUUCCAUUAUGUGUAACACAACUCAGCUUUCUAUUGUGAACUUGAUGAUAUGACCAGGAAAGGUUAGUCUGUAUUAUCAAUAAGACUUUGGAGUUCUAAGCCACUCUGUCUUGUGUGACAUUGUAGGAUUUUGUUUUUUUAAAUAAUAAUAACAUGAAUCUUGAAAAUUCUGUAAAGUGGCUAUUUUGGGAGCUUGGAAUUAAUGUUAGUAAUACCAGGUAAAUCUAGAUGAUUUAACUGGGAAGUCAGGAACUUCUUACUGCGUGAUUUUUGUUUUUGUUUUCAAAUAACAUUGCCUCUUGUCUUCCUUUUUUCUACAGACGACAAAAAUUACAGAGUCCCUGUCAGUUAAACCAGAAAUUUGGUUUGAAAAUUGUCAGUCACAUAUUAACAAAAUUAUAUAUAAGUAAUUCAGGGUAUCCCUUGGUAUUAAUUGUUCCUGUUAGUGCUAGUUCUUGUAUAAACUUGAUGUAAGAUUUAGUACUAGUUACAGAUUGAAGCAUCAUCCUUAUAGUCUAACAAAUAAUAUUAACUCAUUAACAGAUAACUAACAAAUAAUAUUUAUUUGAACAUUUAUUUUUUUUGGGGGGGAAUGGAUUGUCGAAAUCUGAAAAGCCUUAAGACUGAGCUAAAUACACAUUUAAUAAAAAAUUUAUGCACCUGU
This 1496-nucleotide long non-coding RNA is filed under the name Mus musculus (house mouse). RNAcentral's name for it is "long non-coding RNA chr7:59276934-59278430". Lineage: Eukaryota; Metazoa; Chordata; Mammalia; Rodentia; Muridae. The record is from RNAcentral.